GGCGAACGCUGGCGGCGUGCUCGACACAUGCAAGUCGAACGGGCUCGGUACCUUCGGGUACAGAGUCAGUGGCGAACGGGUGAGUAACACGUGGGAACGUGACCCUUUGUGGGGGAUAACUAUUCGAAAGGAUAGCUAAUACCGCAUGAGACCGAAAGGUGAAAGGUGCAAUAGCACCGCGAGGGGAGCGGCCUGCGUUCCAUCAGCUAGUUGGCAGGGUAAAAGCCUACCAAGGCGACGACGGAUAGCCGGCGUGAGAGCGUGGCCGGUCACAAGGAUACUGAGAUACGGAUCCUACUCCUACGGGAGGCAGCAGUGCGGAAUUUUGGUCAAUGGGCGAAAGCCUGAACCAGCGACGCCGCGUGAAGGAUGAAGGUUUUCGGAUCGUAAACUUCUGUGGUAAGGGAAAAAUGUCAUUGAGAGUGGAAAGCUCAAUGGAGAGAUGGUACCUUAUUAGAAAGCCCCGGCUAACUACGUGCCAGCAGCCGCGGUAAUACGUAGGGGGCAAGCGUUGCCCGGAAUUACUGGGCGUAAAGGGAGCGUAGGCGGCCCUUCAAGUCAACUGUGAAAAACUGGAGCUCAACUCCAGUCCUGCGGUUGAAACUGGAAGGCUUGAGGAUGGUAGAGGGAAACGGAACAGCUAGUGUAGGGGUAAAAUCCUUAGAUAUUAGCUGGAACGCCGGUGACGAAGGUGGUUUCCUGGGCCAGUUCUGACGCUGAGGCUCGAAAGCCAGGGGAUCAAACGGGGUUAGGUACCCCGGUAGUCCUGGCCCUAAACGAUGUUCACUAGGUGUGGGGUGUGUAUAGCAUUCCGUGCUAAAGCUAACGCGAUAAGUGAACCGCCUGGGGAGUACGUCCGCAAGGAUGAAACUCAAAGGAAUUGACGGGGGCCCGCACAAGCAGUGGAGCGUGUGGUUUAAUUCGAUGCUAAGCGAAGGACCUUACCAAGGUUUGACAUAAUGGUGGUAGUGAACCGAAAGGGGAACGACCAGUCUAUGACUGGAGCCAUUACAGGUGGUGCACGGCCGUCGUCAGCUCGUGCCGUGAGGUGUUGGGUUAAGUCCCGCAACGAGCGCAACCCCUGUACUUAGUUGCCAUCAGUUAGGCUGGGCACUCUAAGUAGACCGCCGCCGACGAGGCGGAGGAAGGGGGGGAUGACGUCAGGUGUCGUGCCCCUUAUAUCUUGGGCGACACACGCGCUACAAUGGGCCGGACAGAGAGGAGCAAUCCCGCGAGGAGGAGCAAAUCUUCAAACCGGUCCUCAGUUCGGAUUGCAGGCUGCAGCCCGCCUGCAUGAAGUCGGAAUUGCUAGUAAUCGCAGAUCAGCCGAGCUGCGGUGAAUACGUUCCCGGGCCUUGUACACACCGCCCGUCAAGCCACCCGGGUUGGUAACACCUGAAGAUGGGGAUCCUAACCGUAAGGAGGGAACCUGUUUAGGGUGGGAUUGGCAAGGGGGGCUAAGUCGUAACAAGGUAGCCCUACGGAAG
Molecule: ribosomal RNA, 1487 nt
Filed under: uncultured bacterium
Lineage: Bacteria
Description: bacterial SSU rRNA
Rfam family: Bacterial small subunit ribosomal RNA
Source: RNAcentral